This is a long non-coding RNA of Plodia interpunctella (Indianmeal moth), 1266 nucleotides long. RefSeq lists it as uncharacterized. NCBI's taxonomy places the organism in Eukaryota, Metazoa, Arthropoda, Insecta, Lepidoptera, Pyralidae. The record is from RefSeq and is a predicted model, not a curated record. The transcript is spliced from 3 exons.
GAAAUAUAAAGCCUCGAGUUUAAACGGAAACAUUUAAAGGUCCUUUGGCACGCGAAUAGUUUGCCGUGUUUUGCACCAGUCUUAUAUUUGCCCGCUUAUUAUAUAGAAAAAAAUAUAUACAACCAAUUACCAUUACAACAAUAUUUCAUUCUAAUAUUCUUCUUGAUUGCGCUUAUUAGUUCAAAAAAGCUUCAAAAUCAUAUACAGCAAGAACGAUGCAGCACAGAGACACAAACAACUUAAAUCACAAUUAAUAGUCUAUCUACGGCAAGAACGUUAGCGCGAGCCCCAUGUAUAAGUGAAUUCAGCUCGCAGAUCGUCGUCUUUGCUGGAAUACCAAUGAGUGGAGAUCGUGGAGACAAAAAGAAGUGCAACGUCGUGUGCAGUAACGUAGCUGGAGACCAUUUGCCCUAGUGCAAAAUAAUCUAGGGCGCCACCUCAAGUUUAAAAGACUUUUUUGAGUGUUAUCAAUGAAAUGCCGAAUCUUCAAAAUUUUAACGUUUCUUUUGUUUAUUUAUAUCUACUAGCGGGCUUCGUGGUAUUAAAGGGAGAGAGAAGGUUUAAGAUUAAAAAUGAGUGUGUUUCGUUAUUUCGAGGUGCCUCUUGAGACGAGAGGCCCGAUGCACGGAACCUUUGAUUGCUACGCCACUGAGGGUGUUCUGACAUCUCAAGCCGUUCUAUUUCCACCUUGAGGAAUUUUUCAUUACACGUUUUAUGUUUAAACUCGACUAUAAUAUUUUUUACGAGAACGAGAUAAGUCUUUAUGACUCAAGUUACGAUUGUAGCGUCUUACUGGAUUUUCCAAGGAAAUAGAAAAAUAAACAGAGUAACUAUUUGUAAACACGUUGUUACUUGCAGGAAGUCUCGUCGCUGUAAUAUUUCUCUUAUCUGAGUGCUUUCCCGGUUGAUUUACAAAAAUAACGCGACCUUGGAGCCCGGGGUCCGCUUAGUGUAUAUAUGUACAAAAUAGAUAUGGAAUCCAAAUGCCACUUUCUCGUGGCUGUAUGACUGUUCUGAAUCGAGUAUGAAAGUUGUACAGAUGAGUCACACUCAAAACGACUUAAGUUUUUCAUUCAAAUUGUGUAUUUUUUUUCCUUCACAGGCUAAUUAACCGUACUUAAUGUAUGCUAAGUACAGAUUUGCGAAAGAUCGAUGAUUUUUAUCAAUCGAAUCUUAUUACUCAAUAGUUGCACCAGUUCAGUAAACAGAACUAUCAACUGCUGCCACUAGAACCAAGCUUCUAUACCUGGCACAAAAUUGAACAGA